UCCUGGCCGCCGGGCUUCCGUAGCGUUCUGAGCCCCGAAAGGCCAAGGAUCUGGGGGAGAGUGUUAAGGCGAUGCCCCUUCAAAGCAGAACGAUCCAGCUCAGGACAGCGGGUCGGAGCGCCAGCAGGGACUUUCUGGACAUUUGGGCGUGGGUCAGUUUGUUGUUCAGGAUGGUUCAAAGUAAUCCCCGCUCCCUGCCAGAGCCCCUCGUUGUGUUUGGCCAUUGUGAUUUGGUAAAAUUUGAUUGCUCUGGAAACUCAUUCCACAAAAUACGUUACAUGUGAGCAGAA
Molecule: long non-coding RNA, 290 nt
Organism: Macaca mulatta (Rhesus monkey)
Lineage: Eukaryota; Metazoa; Chordata; Mammalia; Primates; Cercopithecidae
Source: RefSeq, a predicted model, not a curated record